This 264-nucleotide unclassified non-coding RNA is filed under the name Melitaea cinxia (Glanville fritillary). Its description in RNAcentral is "misc RNA ENSMCXG00005020635.1". Lineage: Eukaryota; Metazoa; Arthropoda; Insecta; Lepidoptera; Nymphalidae. The record is from RNAcentral.
AGGUCUACAAGCAUGUCUGUCGUUGAUCCUAGCGUUAUUUUAGCGAUAUCAGAAGGUCGUGGAAUGGCUCGUGGGGAAAUAGGAAUGGCAGCUAUAGAUUUACGCCAUCCUCAUAUGGUUUUGUGCCAGUUCAGUGAUACUCUGCUGUACACCCACACUCUUACGAAAAUCAACUAUUUUAACCCAAUUGAGGUCUACCUUUCAUUACUUCUAUUAAAUUAAACUACUUAAUAUGUCUCUUAUAAAGAUUAUAUUUCUCGAAAA